UCUACAGAUGCACGGCUGGUGGUGUGGCUCAGACGGAGCAAGGGUUACAUCAAGGCUGUUCUCUGGACCGUGCAAACAGUCUAGACCAAUGACCUGCAGCAUCAUGCCCUUUGAAGAAGAGGCAAGUUCGGUCAUGAUGAAGAAAAAUCAAGGCGUACCCCUUUUAACAAUAGGGAGCAGCUCGAGGCUGCAAAGAGGUUAUUUAUCAUUAAAAUGGCAUUGUAAAGUGAUGACUCAGAAGUUAACAGAGUUUGUGGCUGCUUCUGAGAAAGAAAACUCUUGAUGUCAGGUUCUGAAAAGUGAAGAGAAUGAAAUACAGAAUAUGGUAAGUGACUUGCAGAUAAACUAUUUCAGCCUCAUCUCAUCUUAUGCUCCAUUGUGCAGUUAUCAUUUGUAAGGUGUAUACAUAUAAAUGCAUACUUGUGGUAGUCACUGUUGCAAUCAGUUGUAAAAUAUGACCACAGUUGAAUCAAACUCCGUCUUCUCCUUUACAUUUAUUUGGAUAAACUUGAUGUAACAGACACUUGGCUAUCAAACAUGACAGGAGAUUUUUACUCUGAUUUUUAACUGGGGAAAAUUCGAGAUGGUUUGUAAGAUUGGGACACUCAUAUUUGUGCUUUGGUAACUGUGGAGUUAUAUGAGAUAAUGUUUAGGGUCAAGAUCUUGCUUUACAAAAGAGCAAAGACAUCAAUUUCUUAAAAUCUGGUUAUACUUGUUAUUCAAACUAUUCAACAUUGACAUGCAGCAGUUAAAAUAUAUAUAUAUAUGUGUGUGUUGAUGCUUACAAGGCUUGUUAAAAAGUAGUUUACAAAAAGCAAGUUGGUUUUACUGAGUUUAUAGAACCCCUAGUGUUUGGGGUUAUUCUCUUUUCUUGUUGUGUUUUCUAUAAUGAGUGAAGGUCCUUUCCUCAUUCUAUUCAGAAGAUACUCUGUGGGGCUUCUUAAUGGAUGAGUUAUAGGGGGUUGAAAGAACGAAGGAAAGACAGAGGAAGAGUGUUGCAGAGCCAUUUCUGGAGCAUGCGUAGAGACAUGCUGACGCUCUGUGCUCUCCUCAGUCCUCACCAUCCCACCCCACCCAAAGCCCAGUGAAUUUGUCCAUGCUCAUGGUGACAGCAGCAUGAACUAGAUUUUUCCUGGGAUAGUUUCCUAGAAACUACCAAUUGAUCUCAUUUUAUUUAGUUAGGGUCAUUCUUUUAGACUAGAAUUUCUUAAAUCAGGAUCAGAGAGUAAGCUUUAUAUAAGGUUAUUAGCAAUCCCUCUGAAAUAAUAUGUAGUAUACUGUAUGUAUAUUCUUUUAUCCUGUGGAGAUGAUCAAUAGGUUUUUAUCAAUUUUUUAAAGGAUCUUGAUGACACAAAAAGUUUUUAUCUAGCAUGGUUCUAUUAAUUUACAACAGUUGUGAUUAAAUAAUUUGAAGGAAGUAUAGAGACUUUAUGUACACAUUUUUAUUAAUAUCCCAGGUGGUGUUGGCUAUAAGUUUGCACCUUCAUGACUCCUUUUUAAUUAAAAGUGUUUUUAGAGAAAUAAAAACUAUUCAAAAGAGUUUUGUUAGUGUUUUCCCUUUUGUCAUUCUCUAAGUCCUGAACCAAAUUUAAAGUUUUUCUUGCAAAUAAAAAAAUAGAAAACUCCACUGAAGUUUGCUUUAUAGUCACUUUACAAACCUUCACAUAGACUUUUAGUUAUUCUAUGACUGAAUAUUUAUAUUUUAAAAUACAUUUAUUAUUUUUUUGCGUAUUCUUCCAGUAUUGAACCCUGUUAUAUGAGUAUUGAUCCCUAUUGCCUCCAGAGUUCUGUUCUGUUUGUUUUGUUGUUUUUGCUUACAGUUGUAAGUAGGAACAGCAGUUCUGAUCUGGUCACAAUUUUUCUACAUUUUUGUUGGAAACUAUGAAAAAUACUUGCUCUGCUUCCUGCACAGAAUAUCUACCCCUGGUAAUGUGGACACUACGUCACACUUCCAUCGGCACUCCUAAAGUUAUUUAUUCUUUGGUAUUCCAGCAGCCAAUUUUAUUUUCACUGAACUCUGUUUGUUAGGAGAUUCUCAGUUAGCCUAUAUCUAUACCAAAUGAUAACUGAUUUUAUCUUUUUCAUUAAAUAUGCAAGUUAUAAAGGAAUAGUACAGAUAUUUUGAUUUUUUUUUUUUUUUGAUGAAAGGGAGGAGAGAAGUUAUUCUGGUUUCUGAUGAGACCAAGAAGGCCUCCAUGCCAGCCCACAUCUCCAUUUGAUGGUGAAUGUGUUUCCCACCUAGAUGACAUCUGAAGCCUUUUAGCUUUAGUCAUUGCACCACAAUUAUUUUUUCUUCUCUUCGUGAAUCAAUUUUCCAGAAGAAAAAGUUGAAAUUUGAUAAGAUCAAUGUACAAAGCCAAAAGUUGCUCUGAGUUACGGUGUUAUUUCUCAGCCAGAUGCUUGUCUCUUCUGCCCAGCUGGAAAAUUUCUGUGAGCAGAGAUCUCUUUAGUGCCAAGAGGGAUAAGCAGAAUGGGAUGAAAAUAUAUCUGUUGUUACAUGGAUGACCCCACUCACACUGACUCUGUCAGUGAGUUUUCCUUAGAGUCCUUGGAGGAAUGCUUUGCCUAACCACCUAGCCCAACAUUUAGGAUUUACUUUUAAGAUAGUCAGUUAAUAUUUCUUAGACAUAAACUUUUGGCCAGAGUAACUGGAAACUUGAGUUUAUUAAACUUUUACAUACUUAACUAUGGUCUUCUGGGUAUUUUAAACUCAGCCAUUUGACUUCAGACCUUCUUUUUUACCCCCCAAAAUAUACAGUGUGAAAUGUUUGAGAAGUAAUUGGAUAUAGUAUCUUUUUCAAGUCCUUCAUAUCUUAUUUCGUCCAGAUAAUAGAGAAAAAUAUACAGUAUUCCAGUGAUUAAAUAUGCUAGACAUAGCUCGAAGCUUGAAUUUCUAGGAAAAUUAAACAGAAGUGGUAAUGAUAUGGAAUUUAGACACCUAAAUACCUAAGCUAAUAAUAUUUAUAUAUAUAUAUAAAUGUGUAAAAACCUAGCUUGAAAAACAAAAAAAAUAUAGAUAUGUAAAUGACUUAUGAGAUAUCAUACUAUGGAACAGUAGAAAACUUUUUAAAAAAUGAUAGCACUAUGCAUGUUCUGACUUGAGAAUUUUCCAUAAUGUAUUUUUGGGGAAAAGAUAAAUCAAGUUUAGUAUAAAUAUGUAUGAUAAAAUCUCUCUUCUCACAGAAAAAUAAACACCUAUAUCAAUCAUACUUUAGCACAUACACAUGUAUGCAAAAUAUAAUUUUAGUCCAUUUGGUUUACGAAAAUAAGACAAGUCAGCAUACAUUUGUUCAUGCAGUGAAAAUGUCUUCAAAUCACACACAGAUUAAUAGCUAUAUUAGGGGAGCAGAAUGAUCAGUUCAGUUCAGUUCAGUCGCUCAGUCAUGUCUGUCUCUUUGAGACCCCAUAGACUGCAGAACGCCAGGCUUCUCUGUCCAUCACCAACU
Bos grunniens (domestic yak) is the source of this 3446-nucleotide long non-coding RNA. The record is from Ensembl. NCBI's taxonomy places the organism in Eukaryota, Metazoa, Chordata, Mammalia, Artiodactyla, Bovidae.